UGAAGAGUUCGAUAGAGAGUCUGAUGUCUAGAUGAGUCCCAGUCUGUCUUGCGAUCCUGGAGUCUGCCGCUGUAUUAUUUCAUCGCUUCCGCCACCGCGAAUAAAUCGUCAAGCCUCACUCUGAUGAUUGGAGCGUAGUAGUACUUGUCAUGUCACAUUACUCUGAUGUGACAUGCCCCUUUUAUUGCGAGCAGUAUAGUUAUCCUAUUACCACUGUAACAUAUCUGACUGUGUGAGACGUGGACAUGUUGUAAUAAAUUGUACAACAACCUCUGCUCUACCUGUUUAAUAUUAAGUACUA
This 301-nucleotide long non-coding RNA is filed under the name Hordeum vulgare. RNAcentral's name for it is "long non-coding RNA (HVUL_LNC006951)". Lineage: Eukaryota; Viridiplantae; Streptophyta; Magnoliopsida; Poales; Poaceae. The record is from RNAcentral.